RNAcentral lists this ribosomal RNA (305 nucleotides) under uncultured Lactobacillus sp. RNAcentral describes it as "bacterial SSU rRNA". It matches the Rfam family "Bacterial small subunit ribosomal RNA", at positions 358 to 655 of the family's 1533-position model. Lineage: Bacteria; Bacillati; Bacillota; Bacilli; Lactobacillales; Lactobacillaceae. The record is from RNAcentral.
GGAAUCUUCCACAAUGGACGAAAGUCUGAUGGAGCAACGCCGCGUGAGUGAAGAAGGGUUUCGGCUCGUAAAACUCUGUUGUUAAAGAAGAACAUAUCUGAGAGUAACUGUUCAGGUAUUGACGGUAUUUAACCAGAAAGCCACGGCUAACUACGUGCCAGCAGCCGCGGUAAUACGUAGGUGGCAAGCGUUGUCCGGAUUUAUUGGGCGUAAAGCGAGCGCAGGCGGUUUUUUAAGUCUGAUGUGAAAGCCUUCGGCUCAACCGAAGAAGUGCAUCGGAAACUGGGAAACUUGAGUGCAGAAGA